This 250-nucleotide ribosomal RNA is filed under the name uncultured prokaryote. Its description in RNAcentral is "partial 16S ribosomal RNA". It matches the Rfam family "Bacterial small subunit ribosomal RNA", at positions 524 to 773 of the family's 1533-position model. The record is from RNAcentral.
UACGGAAGGUCCGGGCGUUAUCCGGAUUUGUUGGGUUUAAAGGGAGCGCAGGCUGAUUAUUAAGCGUGACGUGAAAUGUAGCCGCUCAACGGCUGAACUGCGUCGCGAACUGGUAGUCUUGAGUGAGUUCGAUGUCGGCGGAGUUCGUGGUGCAACGGUGAAAUGCUUAGAUAUCACGAAGAACUCCGAUUGCGAAGGCAGCCAACAAGGCCUUUACUGACGCUAAAGCUCGAAGGUGCGGGUAUCGAAC